Molecule: non-coding RNA, 3796 nt
Organism: Arachis ipaensis
Lineage: Eukaryota; Viridiplantae; Streptophyta; Magnoliopsida; Fabales; Fabaceae
Source: RefSeq, a predicted model, not a curated record
UACAACUUUGUCUUUUCAAUUUGUAGAUUUAUUUUGAUUGUAUGCACCUCGCUUUAGACUUUGUUUGCUAUGGUAAUUUCUAAACGCUUUCACAUUCCUUGGAAUUAGAACUUGGAAAAUAAGCAUAUUUGACAUUUAAGUGUUAAGUUUUAGGCAAGCAUCUUCCUUACCUGUAUUUCUGAUGUUCAUGAUAUUUUCAUAUAACAAUCAAGUGACAACAACAACAACAAUAAGUCUUGUCUUAUUAGGUGGGGUCAGCUAUAUGAAUUAAACAAAGCCAUUGAGCUCUAUUAUGUAUCAUGUUUACAAAGAGACUGUUUACAUGUAAAUUUUGUUUGAUCUUUCUAAGUUUUCUUCUGUCUUUCACUCUUUGUCCAUCUUCCAUCUCAUCCAUUCUUCUGAUUGGGUGCUCUAUCGGUCUUCUUCUCACGUAUCCGAAUCACCUGAGACGCAAUUCUAUCAUCUUUUGUACAAUAUGUGUUACUCCAACUCUCUCUCUUAUAUCUUCAUUCUUUAUUUCAUCCAAUCGCGUAUGACCACUCAUCCAUCUCAACACCUUCGUCUCUGCCACACUUAACAUAUGUUUGUGCUUUCCUUUGGCCGUUCAACACUCUGUGCCAGCAGUGCAAUAGAAUUUACCUUUAAGUUUUAAAGAUACUUUUUUUGUCACAUAAAACCAGACGCACUCCGUUAUUUUGACCAACUUGCUUGAAUUAUGUGAUUUACAUUUUGCUCAAUCUCUUCAUUAUCCUGUAUGAUGCAUCCAAAGUACUUAAAACUUUUAACUUUUCGUAGGAUAUUUUCUCCAAUCUUCACCUUUGUAUUAGGGUUUUUCCUUUGGCAGGCGAACUUACAUUCCAUAUAUUCUGUUUUGCUAUGGCUUAUGCACAAACCAUGUACUUCUAGAGCUUCUCUCCAUAAAUCUAACUUCUUAUUUAGGUCUUCUCUUGACUCUCUCAUAAGGACGAUAUUAUCGACAAAAAGCAUGCAUCAUGGCACAAGCUCUUGGACAUGCUCUAUGAGUACUUCCAAAAUUAAUGUGAAAAAGUAUGGACUUAAAGAUGAUACAAUAGCAAAGGCUUGUUCCACUAGGUGGGAUCGGCUACAUGGAUCAAACUAUAUCAUUGAGCUCUAUCGUGUAUCAUGUCUAUAGAGAGACUUUUUACAUGCAGAUCUCGUUUGACCACUUCAUGGAUAGUCUUCCUAGAUCUUCCUCUGCCUUUCAUCCCUCUUAUUUAUGUUCCAUAUCAUCCACUCUAUUGACCGAGUGCUCUAUCAGUCUUCUUCUCACAUGUUCAAACCACCUGAGACGCAAUUUUACUAUCAUUUUCACAAUAGGUGCUAUUCCAACUCUCUCUCUUAUAUUUUCAUUCUUUAUUCUAUCCAAUCGUGUAUGACUAUUCAUCCACCUCAACAUCUUCAUCUCUGUCACAGUUAACUUAUGUUCGUGCUCCCCUUUGGCCGCCUAACACUUUGUACCAUAAAGCUAGCUAGUCUGAUAAUAGUGCGAUAGAAUUUAUCUUUAAAUUUUAAAGGCACUUUUGUCACAUAUAAAACCAGAAGCACUUCGCCAUUUUGACCAACCUGUUUGGAUCCUAUGAUUUACAUCUUGUUCAAUCUCUCCAUUUUCCUGUACGAUGCAUCCAAGAUACUUAAAACUUCUAAUUUUUCGUAGAGAGUUUUUUUCAAUCUUCACCUCUGUAUUAGGGUUUUUCCUUAGGCGGCCGGACUUACAUUCCUUCUAUUCCGUCUUGUUACAGCUUAUGCGCAGACUAAGCACUUCUAGAUCUUCUCUACAUAAAUCCAACUUCUUAUUUACGUCUUUCCUUGACUCAACCAUAAGGACGAUAUCAUUGGCAAAAAGUAUGCACCAUGAGACAGAUUUUUGGAUAUGAUCUAUGAGUACUAAGACUAAUGUUAAAGGUAUCGAUUUAAGGAUAAUCUCUGGUGCAACCUAUACCAAUAGAAAAUUCCUCUGUCAUACCACCUUGAGUCUUCAUGCUAGUUGUAGUCUCAUCAUACAUGUUUUUAAUUGUACGAAAAUAUGUGAUCCUUACUCUUUUCUUUUCCAAAAUCUUUCAUAAGGCCUCCCUUGGCAUCCUAUCGUAUGCUUUUUUCAAAUCAAUAAACACCAUAUGUAGAUCCCUUUUAUUACUACGAUAUAUUUCCAUUAUUCUUCUUAACAGGUAUGUAGCUUUAGUGGUAGAUUUGUCUGGCAUAAAAUCAAAUUGGUUCUUUGUUACUUGUGUUUCUUGUUUCAACAUCUGUUCUAUUAUCAUUUCUCAUAACUUCAUGGUAUAACUCAUGAGCUUAAUCCCUCUAUAGUUUUUGCAACACUGUAUAUCCCCUUUAUUCUUGUAGAUAGGUAGAAUUGUAGGAAGGUGCACUUUCUCCACUCAUCUGGCAUUUUCUGACCUUAAAAUCUCUUUAAAAAGUUUGGUUAACCAAAUGAUGCCUUUCUCUCCAAGGCCCUUCCAAACUUCAAUCGAAGUAAUAUCGGAUGGAGAAAAGUAAAUGAGAAUAGAUGGGAGAUUCUUUAUUAAUAGUGUCUUUUUGUUUUUUGUUUUAAAAAUGAAUAAUAAAGCCAAAUAGUUGAUUUAAUAUGCAUGAAUCAUCCAUUGGAGACUUAAUUAAGGGAAUAGAAAACCUUACUGGAUAGAGCCAAAGAAGAGUAAAUUAAGGACAAAGAGGAACUAAUAUUGGAAGAAUUAGAACAGAAUGAUAUUGAAAAUGAUGGCUUAGCAAAUAUAAAGUGGAUCAACGAUGGUGAACUUUUCUUUGGUAUAGGUUUAAAUCCUAUUGAAUGCAAAUAAUUUGCAUUAUGUAUUUUAUAUUUAUAUAUUAUAAAUAUAACUCUAAAUAGAAUUUCUAUAUUUCUAAAAACUAAAAAUAAAAUAUAAAAAAAAAAGAUUUUGAAUGAUUUGAAUUGAACAAGAACCACUUAUCCUUUAUUUAUUAAUAUAAAUAUAGAAUAUCUAAUAUAAUUAAUUUAUUAUAUUAUUUAUUCAAAGAAAAGAUAUUAAACAUGAAAGAAUCAGAAUAAUAAUAUAAAUUUUAAUUUGAAAGUUGAAUUAGAAAGAAAUUAAAUUUUUAAUCAAUUUUUUUCUACUUGUUCCUAGAGUAAAGAUUUCCAUUUGUUCCUGAAUAGCUUCCUUUAAAAGGGCUUCUGCUUCCCCAGUGAAGACCUUUGAUUGAGACAUAUUGAGGGCAUCAUUUUCUUGUAGGUUUAUUUUGGUAAUGUGAAGAUCUUCCAAAAGAAAAUAUUUGAUGUUUGGAUAAAAUGGAUGAAUGUUUCAGGUUUUAUUUAGUAAUAGAAAAAUACUGCUCAAAAUUUAGCAGGACAAAUUGUUGUCCAACUAUUAAAAUUGCGUUGUUGUACAAAAUUAAAUAUUUGAUGGUAAAAUGCCAAUGAGAUAAAUGUUGCGUAGAUAAAUAGUAUCUAUUCUUGAAAAGAUAGUAGAAAUUUGCCAAGCUGUUAUACUCAUGUACAAAGGAUAUGUAGAAUACUAGAAUACACGGUAAAAAGAUUUGAUGAAGGGUAGCCCUAAAGCUAGAGGUUAAGAUAUCUAGAUGUAAAUUAUUUGUUAUCAAUAUGUAGGUUGUUCUUGUUAUUUUGGAUGGAUUAGUAAAUUUACCGACUGCUUCCCAUGGGGUGUUGUAAGAGAAGGAUUGAAGUGCAUUAUGAUAAAUGCAUGUGUUUAUGGUUCAGUUUCCGUUUUUAAGUAUCCUUUUUAUAAUUACUUAGAAACUUAAAGAAGAUGUGGGUAUGGUGACUAUGGUCCAUUUAAUAUUCUGU